AGUGAACGCUGGCGGUAGGCCUAACACAUGCAAGUCGAACGGCAGCACAGUAAGAGCUUGCUCUUACGGGUGGCGAGUGGCGGACGGGUGAGGAAUACAUCGGAAUCUACUUUUUCGUGGGGGAUAACGUAGGGAAACUUACGCUAAUACCGCAUACGACCUACGGGUGAAAGCAGGGGAUCUUCGGACCUUGCGCGAUCGAAUGAGCCGAUGUCGGAUUAGCUAGUUGGCGGGGUAAAGGCCCACCAAGGCGACGAUCCGUAGCUGGUCUGAGAGGAUGAUCAGCCACACUGGAACUUGGACACGGUCCAGACUCCUACGGGAGGCAGCAGUGGGGAAUAUUGGACAAUGGGCGCAAGCCUUAUCCAGCCAUACCGCGUGUGUGAAGAAGGCCUUCGGGUUGUAAAGCCCUUUUGUUGGGAAAGAAAAGCAGCAGGUUAAUACCCCGCUGUUCUGACGGUACCCAAAGAAUAAGCACCGGCUAACUUCGUG
This 492-nucleotide ribosomal RNA is filed under the name uncultured bacterium. RNAcentral describes it as "partial 16S ribosomal RNA". It matches the Rfam family "Bacterial small subunit ribosomal RNA", at positions 29 to 507 of the family's 1533-position model. The record is from RNAcentral.